AACGCUGGCGGCAUGCCUAAGACAUGCAAGUCGAACGAGAGGGCCCAUUGACAUUAUCGAAAGUUGAAGUGCUUGCACUGAUGCUGGACUUAUUUAGAUUUGGAUUUCCCUCGAGUGGCAAACGGGUGAGUAACACGUGGGUUACCUGCCUCUUAGACUGGGAUACCGAUUGGAAACGAUCGUUAAUACCGGAUGUUCUCUACGGAGUAAAGAAGCCCUUAAAGCUUCGCUAAGAGAUGGGCCUGCGGCGUAUUAACUAGUUGGUGGGGUAAUGGCCUACCAAGGUGACGAUGCGUAGCCGUACUGAGAGGUUUAACGGCCACACUGGGACUGAGACACGGCCCAGACUCCUACGGGAGACAGCAGUUAGGAAUAUUCGUCAAUGGGGGAAACCCUGAACGAGCAAUGCCGCGUGAGUGAAUGAAGGUCCUUUGGAUUGUAAAACUCUGUUGUUAUGGAAAAAUGCUAGGAAUAGGAAAUGAUUUCUAGUUGAUGGUACAUUUCAAGAAAGCCACGGCUAACUACGUGCCAGCCGCGGC
Molecule: ribosomal RNA, 539 nt
Filed under: uncultured bacterium
Lineage: Bacteria
Description: bacterial SSU rRNA
Rfam family: Bacterial small subunit ribosomal RNA
Source: RNAcentral